UCGAACGAGUUCUCGUUGAUGAUCGGUGCUUGCACCGAGAUUCAACAUGGCACGAGUGGCGGACGGGUGAGUAACACGUGGGUAACCUGCCCUUAAGUGGGGGAUAACAUUUGGAAACAGAUGCUAAUACCGCAUAGAUCCAAGAACCGCAUGGUUCUUGGCUGAAAGAUGGCGUAAGCUAUCGCCUUUUGGAUGGACCCGCGGCGUAUUAGCUAGUUGGUGAGGUAAUGGCUCACCAAGGCGAUGAUACGUAGCCGAACUGAGAGGUUGAUCGGCCACAUUGGGACUGAGACACGGCCCAAACUCCUACGGGAGGCAGCAGUAGGGAAUCUUCCACAAUGGACGCAAGUCUGAUGGAGCAACGCCGCGUGAGUGAAGAAGGCUUUCGGGUCGUAAAACUCUGUUGUUGGAGAAGAAUGGUCGGCAGAGUAACUGUUGUCGGCGUGACGGUAUCCAACCAGAAAGCCACGGCUAACUACGUGCCAGCAGCCGCGGUAAUACGUAGGUGGCAAGCGUUAUCCGGAUUUAUUGGGCGUAAAGCGAGCGCAGGCGGUUUUUUAAGUCUGAUGUGAAAGCCCUCGGCUUAACCGAGGAAGCGCAUCGGAAACUGGGAAACUUGAGUGCAGAAGAGGACAGUGGAACUCCAUGUGUAGCGGUGAAAUGCGUAGAUAUAUGGAAGAACACCAGUGGCGAAGGCGGCUGUCUGGUCUGUAACUGACGCUGAGGCUCGAAAGCAUGGGUAGCGAACAGGAUUAGAUACCCUGGUAGUCCAUGCCGUAAACGAUGAAUGCUAGGUGUUGGAGGGUUUCCGCCCUU
This 816-nucleotide ribosomal RNA is filed under the name uncultured bacterium. RNAcentral's name for it is "bacterial SSU rRNA". It matches the Rfam family "Bacterial small subunit ribosomal RNA", at positions 62 to 840 of the family's 1533-position model. The record is from RNAcentral.